UGGGUUAUAGCUCAGUGGUAGAGUGUAUGCAUAGCGUGUGUGAGGUCCUGGGUUCAGUUCCCAGUACCUCCA
RNAcentral lists this transfer RNA (72 nucleotides) under Camelus bactrianus (Bactrian camel). It matches the Rfam family "tRNA". From Rfam's summary of the family: Transfer RNA (tRNA) molecules are approximately 80 nucleotides in length. Their secondary structure includes four short double-helical elements and three loops (D, anti-codon, and T loops). RNAcentral also lists the same sequence under 2 other names. The record is from Rfam by way of RNAcentral. Lineage: Eukaryota; Metazoa; Chordata; Mammalia; Artiodactyla; Camelidae.